AGUGAACGCUGGCGGUAGGCCUAACACAUGCAAGUCGAACGGCAGCACAGUAAGAGCUUGCUCUUACGGGUGGCGAGUGGCGGACGGGUGAGGAAUACAUCGGAAUCUACUUUUUCGUGGGGGAUAACGUAGGGAAACUUACGCUAAUACCGCAUACGACCUACGGGUGAAAGCAGGGGAUCUUCGGACCUUGCGCGAUUGAAUGAGCCGAUGUCGGAUUAGCUAGUUGGCGGGGUAAAGGCCCACCAAGGCGACGAUCCGUAGCUGGUCUGAGAGGAUGAUCAGCCACACUGGAACUGAGACACGGUCCAGACUCCUACGGGAGGCAGCAGUGGGGAAUUUUGGACAAUGGGCGCAAGCCUGAUCCAGCCAUACCGCGUGAGUGAAGAAGGCCUUCGGGUUGUAAAGCCCUUUUGUUGGGAAAGAAAAGCAGCAGGUUAAUACCCCGCUGUUCUGACGGUACCCAACGAAUAAGCACCGGCUAACUUCGUG
This 492-nucleotide ribosomal RNA is filed under the name uncultured bacterium. Its description in RNAcentral is "partial 16S ribosomal RNA". It matches the Rfam family "Bacterial small subunit ribosomal RNA", at positions 29 to 507 of the family's 1533-position model. The record is from RNAcentral.